Molecule: ribosomal RNA, 315 nt
Filed under: Salmonella enterica subsp. arizonae serovar 18:z4,z23:- str. CVM N6509
Lineage: Bacteria; Pseudomonadati; Pseudomonadota; Gammaproteobacteria; Enterobacterales; Enterobacteriaceae
Also listed under: 1 other name
Description: bacterial LSU rRNA
Rfam family: Bacterial large subunit ribosomal RNA
Source: RNAcentral
GUGACUGCGUACCUUUUGUAUAAUGGGUCAGCGACUUAUAUUCUGUAGCAAGGUUAACCGUAUAGGGGAGCCGGAGGGAAACCGAGUCUUAAUUGGGCGUUAAGUUGCAGGGUAUAGACCCGAAACCCGGUGAUCUAGCCAUGGGCAGGUUGAAGGUUGGGUAACACUAACUGGAGGACCGAACCGACUAAUGUUGAAAAAUUAGCGGAUGACCUGUGGCUGGGGGUGAAAGGCCAAUCAAACCGGGAGAUAGCUGGUUCUCCCCGAAAGCUAUUUAGGUAGCGCCUCGUGAAUUCAUCUCCGGGGGUAGAGCAC